UUUAUGGAGAGUUUGAUCCUGGCUCAGGAUGAACGCUGGCGGCGUGCCUAAUACAUGCAAGUCGAGCGAACAGAUAAGGAGCUUGCUCCUUUGACGUUAGCGGCGGACGGGUGAGUAAC
Molecule: ribosomal RNA, 119 nt
Filed under: Staphylococcus warneri
Lineage: Bacteria; Bacillati; Bacillota; Bacilli; Caryophanales; Staphylococcaceae
Description: partial 16S ribosomal RNA
Rfam family: Bacterial small subunit ribosomal RNA
Source: RNAcentral